Molecule: long non-coding RNA, 433 nt
Organism: Vicia villosa (hairy vetch)
Lineage: Eukaryota; Viridiplantae; Streptophyta; Magnoliopsida; Fabales; Fabaceae
Exons: 3
Source: RefSeq, a predicted model, not a curated record
CUUUUCUCACUCAAUGCGUAAUUGUUGCUUAAUUAUGGAGAAGGAAGCACAUGCAUUGUUAAAUGCUAAGGCCAAAAUCUGCUCAUUAAUGAUGUUGUCCAACUGCAUCUGCCGCUGCUCCAUCAAAGGGGUAAUACUAACUGGCUCUGGAAAUCGGCGGAGGAAAAAAGACAGAAGCUUGCCGAAACAAUAUGACAACAAGAUUGUUGAUGAAUUUUUAGAGUGACAGCAAGAUUUUUACUUUCUAGCAAGAGUUGUUUUAUUCUUUUAUCACUACUACUCAAUUGUGGCUUACGGCUGCUGUUGGAGUGUUUGAAGCACGUCGCAUAUCAGAUGCAAUUUGAACUCGGGUAUUGUUAUUUAAACGCAGUUCUUUACAAAUGCAAUUUGUUUGUAUUUGGUGUAGAGCAGUAUGAGCAGGCUAUCAAGUAUG